This 495-nucleotide ribosomal RNA is filed under the name uncultured bacterium. RNAcentral's name for it is "partial 16S ribosomal RNA". It matches the Rfam family "Bacterial small subunit ribosomal RNA", at positions 28 to 507 of the family's 1533-position model. The record is from RNAcentral.
GACGAACGCUGGCGGCGUGCCUAAUACAUGCAAGUAGAACGCUGAAGGAGGAGCUUGCUUCUCUGGAUGAGUUGCGAACGGGUGAGUAACGCGUAGGUAACCUGCCUGGUAGCGGGGGAUGACUAUUGGAAACGAUAGCUAAUACCGCAUAAUAGUAGAUGUUGCAUGACAUUUGCUUAAAAGGUGCAAUUGCAUCACUACCAGAUGGACCUGCGUUGUAUUAGCUAGUUGGUGGGGUAACGGCUCACCAAGGCGACGAUACAUAGCCGACCUGAGAGGGUGAUCGGCCACACUGGGACUGAGACACGGCCCAGACUCCUACGGGAGGCAGCAGUAGGGAAUCUUCGGCAAUGGACGGAAGUCUGACCGAGCAACGCCGCGUGAGUGAAGAAGGUUGUCGGAUCGUAAAGCUCUGUUGUAAGAGAAGAACGAGUGUGAGAGUGGAAAGUUCACACUGUGACGGUAUCUUACCAGAAAGGGACGGCUAACUACGUG